UUUCCUCCGUGUGCAUUACUUUCGAGCCUUAUUUUCCCUGACAGACCUUAGUGAUUAUUGGCCCAGUCCCUAGUUCUCAGUGUCUGAGUUUAGCCUGCCGAUUUUUUACCCCUGCCUGUUAUUAUUGAUCUCCAAAAAGAUGGAAAAAGGUUCACCUUCAGAUGAUGAAGAAGAAGAUGACUGCAAGGAAGAUGAUGAAGAUCAUUUAAUCAUCACUCCCCUGUUUUCCUCCAAGACUGCCCUGUAUUUGGCUCCAUCCAUCUUGCCAUCAACUCUGACCAGCUUCCCUGUCCCAGCUGAAGAAAAGAAUCCCCAGAGCAUGCCACCCCCAUGUUUCUCUGUGGGGAUGGUGUGUUCAGGGUGUUCAGGCAACAGAGAGGAACAAUAUAAUCAUUGGAUAACACUAAACACUAGUGCAAGUCUCCUUUAAACAUUUUUCACAUUCUUCUUUGAAACCAUUGUCAAAAUAAUCUGUAAAUUACAGUCUUCUGUGUGUGCUUUGAUUAAGAAUAAAAUGAGAUGAUGUGACUAUGAAUGUCAUCUAGUGGUCAAAGUGAGUAACUACAUCAGGACUUUAAUCAGGUUAGAAAAAGAAAAAACUCCCCAACCAUUGCAGAGCUCAUUUAGUGAAUAAUGACUUCAAAUAUUAUUUUUACUCUCAUUCUCGUCUUGGUUAUAUCACAUUUGACAAUAUUCAAUCAUGUUUGGCUUCACUGUUUAAUAAUUAUUUUAUAGGAAGAUGACCAGAACCACUGGGGUGUUAUUUGGGCAUAGUGUUAUUCCUAUCAACAUAACACAGUGCAUAAUUUGCUGAUAAGUCAGUAUCCCCCAUCUAGUGGUCAUAGUCAUCACUGCUCAAAGGGGUAUCAGACUCAUCUCUGGUUGGGAGGUGGACCGUCAGGUGACCUGGUGUGGCCUAACAACCUGGAGUUUAAUGCUCUAAAGACAUUGGAGAUGGUUUAGAUAUUAGGAAGGACACUGCCGCCCAUGCCCCCAUAACCCUCUAUGAAUCCCCAGUUUCCACAGUCGACUCUCUCCACCUCCUGGGGACCUUUAAAUCCCAGGACCUCAAAUGGGAGCUCAAUAUCAGAUCCCUUGUUGAGAUAGCACAACAAAGGAUGAUGAAGAAAUUCAACCUGCAAAUGAAUAUGAUGCUGCACCUCUACACUGCUAUCAUGAAACUCAUCCUAACUUCAUCCAUCACACUCUAGCAUGCUGUGUCCAUGGUGAGGCAGAAACAGGCUGCAGCUUAUUAUCAGCUCUGAAGAGAGGUUGAUUGGCUACAGUACCAUCUUUCCAUGACCAGUGUGCCUCCAAGGCUCUGAGGCAUGCAGGCAAAGUGUGGCCGACCUCUCUCACCCUGGACUUUUUGAGGCCUCCCUCUGGUAGGAGGCCUUGGCCCAUCAGUACCACAACCUCAGGCCACAAGAACAGUUUCUCUUCUGUUAGUCUCAUGAACAUAAUCUGGCCCUCCCCACUCCUUCCACAGACUCUCACUGAUUUCCAGAACCAGCAGACACUGUGUGUGCUUAUCCUUAAGAAAACUGCACUAUAAACUUUUUAUCACUAUACCUCCACAUCUGCAGUUUCUCCUUUUUUUUGCACCUUUCUGCAUACAUCUGUAAAGUUUAUAUUGUAUUUAAUGAUUUAAUUUUGCUUCUAUAUUUUUCUCUACUAAUGUA
Long non-coding RNA from Cheilinus undulatus (humphead wrasse), 1682 nucleotides. RefSeq lists it as uncharacterized. The record is from RefSeq and is a predicted model, not a curated record. Lineage: Eukaryota; Metazoa; Chordata; Actinopteri; Labriformes; Labridae. The transcript has 3 exons.